CUUUCAACUGGAACACGUCCAAUGUUUCCAUUGGCAAAGACCGCCUGUAUAAAGUUGAUCUUGGUUCAGACUUAUCAUCAAUUCAAAGUGAUUUUCAAUCCGCGACCAAGUCUACUAGAGCUAACUUUUCUGAUAUUAUCUAAACGUUGGUGGACUUCUCCUGUCAACACUUUUUCGUAAAUACCAAGCUGCAAGGAAAAAAUUGAGUAAAUAUCCAGCCAACUUCGUUGAUUAUAUAAGCACACUGAAGGAAUGGACGUCUGCAGUUAGAAAGGCGAAAAGGACGCAUAUUGCUAUUACGAUUAAAGAGUUGCCUGGUAAUAGAAACUCGCGUGUUUUCUGGAAUUACAUCAAUGGUCAUCGACAUUUCAGUCGAAAAUUAAAUGGUUGUGCUGUGUGGAAUGACUAUGAUAAUAAAAGAUACUUGGAUAUGCUCAUGAGCUAUAUUCCAAGUGUUAACCUGAUUACAUUACCUUCAAUUCCUUCUAAUGGUCUGAACAAUACACCCUUUUUAUUGUGUGGGCUAAUGUAUGUAUUACAUUCCAGAAAGAGGAUUGCUGCUUCAGGUUGUGAUGGAGUUAAGUAUGACAUGGUCAGAGCACUGUCUGGAGGAAGCUUAAAUAUCCUCUUGCAUGCAAUUAGUAACUACUGGUCUAUUAAGUUUAUACCACUAGGUUUGCCAUGUAUCAAGGUAGUUCCCAUUGCUAAGACAGGUCUUUAAUGAUUUAAGUAACUUCAGACCAAUUUCGCUAAUAUCCGUAUUCAUAAAGAUUAUCGACUUCAUGGUUAAGGAGAGACUAAUGGAUUUCUUGAAAACCGGAAACAUUAUUCCAACUCGUCCUUAAGUCUAUCAAGAACGCAAAUGUAAAAAUAUGCGCAUUAAUGAACUAUCUUUUUUCAUACCUAGUUUAAAAAAGCUAAUAAAAUGGUUGUUAUGAUUUCCUUGGACAUCAGCAAAGUCUGUGAUUGUGUCAACUGGUUGAAGCUUGAUGGAAUUCUUGUAAACUCAAUUCCUCUUCAAAUACAUCUGUGGAUGAUACAUUUUUUGCCCAAGUGUGUGUUAGUAAUGGGUACAGACAAAAUUGAAGUAUACGGUGGUAUUCCACAAGGCAGCUGCUAAAGCCUUUUCAAGGUGGCCAAACUCAUAUUUUUCAAUAUGCAGAUGAUUUCCUAAUUGUAUCUGCGCAAUCAUCUUUUUUCAGCGGCUGUGAAUAAUCUCUCGAUAAAAGCUGCUCUUUUUUUCGAUUCAUGCGCCGAUCUUAAUUUAUAAACAAACACUACUUAUAUUGUCGAAGAUCCUAAACGUGAAAUCAGGCUCUUUAUCAAAGGAACUAAAGUUGAUCAGGUGAAAUCUCUUCGGCUUGUUAGUAGAAUUUUAAGUGGCGGCCUAAUUCUUCGUGGACAUUAUGAGAAAGCAUUCAAAGACUGUUAAUCUGGGUGCAAUAUCAUCAAACUCACGACUAACAAUCAGUCAGGCUUGCCCCCCAAAAAAGCUUUGACUGUAUAGAAAUCUUUAGUCAGGUCCAAAAUUGAAUUUGCACAUUCUACAUGUUGCAAUUACCCAAAUUACAUUAAGAAACCUAUACAAACAUAUAAAAAUUGAGUGUUAAAACGUUGUACUGGACUUAUCCCCUCAACUCCUCAACAUAUUCCUAAAGCCAUUUCUGGUCAAUGGCCAGUUUCCGAAAGAGCUCUUCCUUGCACUGCCAAAGAACUAAUUGAGGUCAACAUAACGAAUCGUCCUCUUUUUCAGAAAGUUAUAUACCUGAGUGAUAAUAUUUCCUGCAGCUACACAUUAUGUUCUCAAAAACUAUGUCACAUUUUUGACAAGAUAACUUCAAUUCCUCUUUGAAAUUUUUUUACUAACAAAUGUAGGGUCUUCACGAACAUUCUUGAAUUGAUCUCUACCUCCAAUUUCGCAUGUACGAGGAUCUUAUGUUAAGAAAAGGUUCUUCUUUAUUACAACAACGGCUAUGAUUAGAUGCCACUGACGGUUCCCUCGGACAUAAUGUAUCUAGCUUCUUGGUGGUGAAGCAUCUGUCUAAAAUAGUAUAUAGAGUCAAAUUGGGAGAACUUUCCUCGACUUUUAUCGUGUUGCUUGCUGUCAGACAUCCAGACAUUAAGGUGGCUAUUACUGAUGGUAUCAAGAAAAUUGUUAUGUUUUCGGGUAGCAAGUCAGCUCUACCUACAAAUAAAAGAGAUGCAGAUAAUCAAUAUGUGCUUGAUAUACAUAGAAUUAUACAUGAAUCUCAUGCGGACGACUAUCACUUUAUUUGGAUACUACGGUUUGGUCACUACGGUUUUUUUUUAAAUGAAAAAGCCGUAUUUCAUGCAAAAAGGGCUCAAGUUGAUGGGACAAUUUUGUCCAUCAAAUACACUCCCAAUGAAGCAAUACGGCCAAUUCGGAACUUUCAAUAACCGAAGGAUCAAUUUAAAGAGUUUGCACAUGUUAAAUCGACCCGCCUUUUCUACAAAAUAAAUCCCAAAUUUCAAUAUAAACGAUUUUCAGAGGCUUCCUUUAAUUCGUGGAAAAUCAAUAUCCUUUCUAGACUCAUGAGUGGUCGCACUUAUGAUUAAAUACAUUUAAAAGUGACACCACGUGGGAUUUGUGAAGAUUGCAAUGUCGUCGUGUCUGCUGAGCAUCUAAUUUUUAGAUGUCGCAAGCUUGACGGUAUUAUAAGUUCUUUUAGCUUCUUCAAGUUAUAUGACGGUCUCCUCGAUCUCUUUGUAGCAAAAAAUAUACGCAAUCUCGGGCACUAACUUGCUUUAUUAGAAAAGCGAAUUUACCGUUAUUAUUAUUAUUAUUAUCUUUUGCGUUCAAUCGUUUUCUAUUGCUAUAGAAUACUGUUUUGUUGCCCUAUAAUACUGUUUUCAGCCAAAGUUUGCAACACUGUUUUUUUCUUUUGAACAACUCAACGACAAUUCAUGUACACACAUUUACUCUUAACAUAUUGGCUA
Long non-coding RNA from Glossina fuscipes, 2958 nucleotides. RefSeq lists it as uncharacterized. Lineage: Eukaryota; Metazoa; Arthropoda; Insecta; Diptera; Glossinidae. The record is from RefSeq and is a predicted model, not a curated record. The transcript is spliced from 2 exons.